This 424-nucleotide ribosomal RNA is filed under the name uncultured bacterium. RNAcentral's name for it is "partial 16S ribosomal RNA". It matches the Rfam family "Bacterial small subunit ribosomal RNA", at positions 359 to 774 of the family's 1533-position model. The record is from RNAcentral.
GAAUAUUGGACAAUGGGGGGAACCCUGAUCCAGCCAUGCCGCGCGUGUGAAGACUGCCUUUUGGUUGUAAAUCACUUUCAGCGAGGAGGACGACCUCUUGGUUAAUACCCAAGAUGCCUGGACGUUACCCGCAGAAUAAGCCCCCGCCAACUCUGUUCCAGCACCCGCCGUAAUACCGAGGGUGCAAGCGUUAAUCGGAUUUACUGGGCGUAAAGCGCGCGUAGGUGGCCAAUUAAGUCAAAUGUGAAAUCCCCGAGCUUAACUUGGGAAUUGCAUUCGAUACUGGUUGGCUAGAGUAUGGGAGAGGAUGGUAGAAUUCCAGGUGUAGCGGUGAAAUGCGUAGAGAUCUGGAGGAAUACCGAUGGCGAAGGCAGCCAUCUGGCCUAAUACUGACACUGAGGUGCGAAAGCAUGGGGAGCAAACA